RNAcentral lists this ribosomal RNA (253 nucleotides) under uncultured bacterium. Its description in RNAcentral is "partial 16S ribosomal RNA". It matches the Rfam family "Bacterial small subunit ribosomal RNA", at positions 524 to 776 of the family's 1533-position model. The record is from RNAcentral.
UACAGAGGGGGCGAGCGUUAAUCGGAAUUACUGGGCGUAAAGCGCGCGUAGGCGGCUUUGCAAGUCGGGUGUGAAAUCCCCAGGCUUAACCUGGGAACUGCAUUCGAGACUGCAUUGCUAGAGUAUGGGAGAGAGAAGUGGAAUUUCCGGUGUAGCGGUGAAAUGCGUAGAUAUCGGAGGGAACAUCAGUGGCGAAAGCGACUUCCUGGACCAAUACUGACGCUCAUGUGCGAAAGCGUGGGGAGCAAACAGG